Long non-coding RNA from Anthonomus grandis grandis, 563 nucleotides. RefSeq lists it as uncharacterized. The record is from RefSeq and is a predicted model, not a curated record. The transcript is spliced from 3 exons. NCBI's taxonomy places the organism in Eukaryota, Metazoa, Arthropoda, Insecta, Coleoptera, Curculionidae.
GGAGGACCUUCGUAAUGCUGUGAUACCGCAAUCGUUUAUUUUCAUCUCACUCCAAAUUAAGGAAAUUGCUUCGCCAGUUUGUGCAAAAAUCUGCCACUAUCUAUAUUGAUCGUAGCUCGGUCCAACCAAAGGUUUCGUGUGGUAAUAUAACUUCUGAGAGUUGUUUGCUGAGUGGUACCAUACGUUCAGCACCGAUUAAAUACACUGCGAACAGGAGUGUUGGUAACAAGUUACCGCACCUAUUUACUGUGUAACGCGGCUAGACAGCAUUUGUAAACAAGACCAAGGAAAUUACAAAGACCGUGACUUUGCUGGGAAAGUUUCACUACUCAGGACGCUAUAAAACGUUAUAUUUUGCUGGAUAUUUUCGAUCUCUGUCGAGCCAUUUUCAUAUUGACUUGUUGAACUUCCGGGAUUACAGGGAAAGUCCUUGACUUCGUAUAGGCGGAAUCCAGGGAGUGCCUGUAGAAAAUACCCUUGAGAACAUUCAUAGCUGUAAAAUUAUGGAUUUUAUCAUUAAAAUGGUUUGUUUUAAAUAUUAAACUGCUUUUUAGGUUAAUGUA